Molecule: ribosomal RNA, 490 nt
Filed under: uncultured bacterium
Lineage: Bacteria
Description: partial 16S ribosomal RNA
Rfam family: Bacterial small subunit ribosomal RNA
Source: RNAcentral
AUUGAACGCUGGCGGCAGGCCUAACACAUGCAAGUCGAACGGUAACAGGAAGAAGCUUGCUUCUUUGCUGACGAGUGGCGGACGGGUGAGUAAUGUCUGGGAAACUGCCUGAUGGAGGGGGAUAACUACUGGAAACGGUAGCUAAUACCGCAUAACGUCGCAAGACCAAAGAGGGGGACCUUCGGGCCUCUUGCCUUCGGAUGUGCCCAGAUGGGAUUAGCUAGUAGGUGGGGUAACGGCUCACCUAGGCGACGAUCCCUAGCUGGUCUGAGAGGAUGACCAGCCACACUGGAACUGAGACACGGUCCAGACUCCUACGGGAGGCAGCAGUGGGGAAUAUUGCACAAUGGGCGCAAGCCUGAUGCAGCCAUGCCGAGUGUAUGAAGAAGGACUUCGGGUUGUAAAGUACUUUCAGCGGGGAGGAAGGGAGUAAAGUUAAUACCUGUGCUCAUUGACGUUACCCGAAGAAGAAGCACCGGCUAACUCCGUG